GCGUGCUCCGGGCGUCGGCCU
Molecule: small RNA, 21 nt
Filed under: Arabidopsis thaliana (thale cress)
Lineage: Eukaryota; Viridiplantae; Streptophyta; Magnoliopsida; Brassicales; Brassicaceae
Description: Ath_wt_08435
Source: RNAcentral